This 844-nucleotide ribosomal RNA is filed under the name uncultured Acidobacteriota bacterium. RNAcentral's name for it is "bacterial SSU rRNA". It matches the Rfam family "Bacterial small subunit ribosomal RNA", at positions 58 to 904 of the family's 1533-position model. The record is from RNAcentral. Lineage: Bacteria; Pseudomonadati; Acidobacteriota.
CAAGUCGAGCGAGAAAAGGGGGGCAACUCCCUGAGUACAGCGGCGCACGGGUGAGUAACACGUGGGUAAUCUGCCCUGGAGUGGGGAAUAACACCGGGAAACCGGUGCUAAUACCGCAUACGAUCAUGAGGUCUGCGGACUUUGUGGUGAAAGGAGCAAUUCGCUCUAGGAGGAGCCCGCGGCUGAUUAGCUAGUUGGUGAGGUAAUGGCUCACCAAGGCUACGAUCAGUAUCCGGUCUGAGAGGACGGUCGGACACACUGGAACUGAGACACGGUCCAGACUCCUACGGGAGGCAGCAGUGGGGAAUUUUUGGCAAUGGGGGCAACCCUGACCAAGCAACGCCGCGUGGGUGAUGAAGUCUCUUGGGACGUAAAACCCUUUCGACGGGGAAGAAAACCGCAAGGUUUGACGGUACCCGUAGAAGAAGCCCCGGCUAACUCCGUGCCAGCAGCCGCGGUAAUACGGGGGGGGCAAGCGUUGUUCGGAAUUACUGGGCGUAAAGGGCGCGUAGGCGGUUCGCUAAGUUGGAUGUGAAAACUCUGGGCUCAACCCAGAGCCUGCAUCCAAAACUGGCGGGCUAGAGUUCUGGAGGGGGUAGCGGAAUUCCUGGUGUAGCGGUGAAAUGCGUAGAUAUCAGGAGGAACACCGGUGGCGAAGGCGGCUACCUGGACAGAAACUGACGCUGAGGCGCGAAAGCUAGGGGAGCAAACAGGAUUAGAUACCCUGGUAGUCCUAGCCCUAAACGAUGGAUACUUGGUGUGACUGGGAUUGAAUCCAGUCGUGCCGAAGCUAACGCAUUAAGUAUCCCCGCCUGGGGAGUACGGUCGCAAGGCUGAAACUCAA